GAUGAACGCUGGCGGCGUGCCUAAUACAUGCAAGUCGAGCGAACAGACGAGGAGCUUGCUCCUCUGACGUUAGCGGCGGACGGGUGAGUAACACGUGGAUAACCUACCUAUAAGACUGGGAUAACUUCGGGAAACCGGAGCUAAUACCGGAUAAUAUAUUGAACCGCAUGGUUCAAUAGUGAAAGCCGGUUUUGCUGUCACUUAUAGAUGGAUCCGCGCCGCAUUAGCUAGUUGGUAAGGUAACGGCUUACCAAGGCAACGAUGCGUAGCCGACCUGAGAGGGUGAUCGGCCACACUGGAACUGAGACACGGUCCAGACUCCUACGGGAGGCAGCAGUAGGGAAUCUUCCGCAAUGGGCGAAAGCUUGACGGAGCAACGCCGCGUGAGUGAUGAAGGUCUUCGGAUCGUAAAACUCUGUUAUUAGGGAAGAACAAAUGUGUAAGUAACUAUGCACGUCUUGACGGUACCUAAUCAGAAAGCCACGGCUAACUACGU
Molecule: ribosomal RNA, 496 nt
Filed under: uncultured bacterium
Lineage: Bacteria
Description: partial 16S ribosomal RNA
Rfam family: Bacterial small subunit ribosomal RNA
Source: RNAcentral